GAUGAACGCUGGCGGCGUGCCUAAUACAUGCAAGUCGAGCGGUAAGGCCACUUCGGUGGUACACGAGCGGCGGACGGCUGAGUAACACGUAGGAACGUACCCCAAACUGAGGGAUAAGCACCAGAAAUGGUGUCUAAUACCGCAUGUGCUCUUCGGAGUAAAGCUACGGCGGUUUGGGAACGGCCUGCGCAUGAUUAGCUUGUUGGUGAGGUAAUGGCUCACCAAGGCGACGAUCAUUAGCUGGUCUGAGAGGAUGAUCAGCCAGACUGGGACUGAGAACGGCCCAGACUCCUACGGGAGGCAGCAGUAGGGAAUUUUCCACAAUGGACGAAAGUCUGAUGGAGCAACGCCGCGUGCAGGAUGAAGGCUUUCGGGUCGUAAACUGCUUUAUCUGUGAAGAUUAUGACGGUAGCAGAUGAAUAAGGAUCGGCUAACUCCGUA
This 441-nucleotide ribosomal RNA is filed under the name uncultured bacterium. RNAcentral describes it as "bacterial SSU rRNA". It matches the Rfam family "Bacterial small subunit ribosomal RNA", at positions 28 to 507 of the family's 1533-position model. The record is from RNAcentral.